AGUUCAAUGUGCUCAUCAGCGCCUGACCCUGAGAUGUGGAUCUUCAUGCAGGCCCCACUUGGCUCGGGGGGAUAUAG
This 77-nucleotide transfer RNA is filed under the name Cucurbita ficifolia (figleaf gourd). RNAcentral's name for it is "tRNA-Ile". The record is from RNAcentral. Lineage: Eukaryota; Viridiplantae; Streptophyta; Magnoliopsida; Cucurbitales; Cucurbitaceae.